Molecule: long non-coding RNA, 2816 nt
Filed under: Homo sapiens (human)
Lineage: Eukaryota; Metazoa; Chordata; Mammalia; Primates; Hominidae
Description: long non-coding RNA NONHSAT160070.1
Source: RNAcentral
CUGGCUGAGAGUGGGGCAGGGAAGCCUGAGGCCCAGCCUCUGCCAUGACCCUGAGCAGGGCCUACCCCCAGGCGAUUCAUCUCCCCAUCUCUGAGCUGCCAGAUGGAACCCACGUGCAGAGUGGCUGCAACAUGGAGAAUGGGUUGGAGGGACACAAGAGGGGCAGUGGAGAGACCACUUCAGACCUCUCCACUCCUGCCUCCUGGAGACUCAGCGAGCUCGUCCCUCAUUGACUCUACAUCACCCCUCACCCACCGGUCCCAGGUGCACACACGAGACCAGGCCCAGACCAGGGACUUCCUAGGCCACGCCACGCCGCUCCACCAGCUCAGGGAACCCCCUUGGCCGUGCAGACCUGCGCCACAGGGUCGUUUCCUCCCCUCCUUCCCUCGAAAGCGUAUGCAUUUCGUUGCCCCUGGAACUGGGGUCAUUUCAGGACCUCCCAAGGAGGGUCAGGAUGGUGGUAUUGGCCUUAGGGGACGCGGGCUCAGGUUGGCGGUUGAACCGCAUGUUCCUGUUUCAAACAAACCUAAAUGUAGGCCUGGAAGGCUGUGCACUGAAAUCCUAGUAUUAGGUUGGUGCAAAAUUAAUUGCGAUUUUUGCCAUUGUAGGUUGUCUGCAGAGUGAGAUUAUGGCGAAGCAUUUUAUUCUUUUUACAAACCUGCUUUUUCUCAGUUUUCCACAUUGGAUUUGCCAGCUACCUGCCUUUGCAGGACACCUCAGAAGUUACAGACUUGCCUGUGGAAAUGCAGAGAGCACCUGAGGUAUUUCCCGGACUCUCCAGUAGUAGCCUUGAAUGGCUGACCAACCGCAGUCACCUGCCAGAUCUUCUCAGAACCGGCCAGCCCACCAGCGACAGGCCCAUUAAGUGGCCUGGCCCAGCCCAGAUGGAAAACCCCCUCCACGUGACUUUCUAAAGAACAUGCAUGAAGACAAAACACCAGGUGCCUCAGGUGUGACACCCUGAGGACACAUCACCUGUACAGUAUCCUAACCCACCCAAGAUGACACAGUAAGGUAAAACCACAGUAGAGCCCAGGCCUGUUUGACUCUGAAGUCCAGGCUCCUUUCCAACUUAGUGCCCUAAAGGCCUGAUUGGGGUGGGGGUAGGCAGGAAGAUUCAAGCACUGAUUGUUUGUAGCCCAGGCUGGGAGGGCAACAGCUCUAGAAAAAAAGUCACUCACUGCUUUAACCAUCUUCCAGCUAACUGCAGUGAGGUGUACAGGGCCAUGGGGCUCUGGGAUGAACUCUUCCACCUCUACACCUUGUAAACAAGGAUUCCAGACACACCCUCCAAAUGGGAAUGGAGACACACGUUUGGCAGAGUUGGACAGUAACGCUGCUCUCCUAUCAGCCUGGACUUUGAGGGGAGUGGAAAACAUGAGUGUGGAGGUGCAGCAGUCCUGGUAUCCCCUGAAACCAGCCUGUGGGGGGAACAGUCUUCCCAGGGGAGCUGCUCAGGAUCGUCCUGGUCCCAUGCAUCAGGAAGAAAAGGGAACCUGAGAGCAGAGGGAAAAUGCAGAAAGUGGGGCAGGGAGACUGCUCCCUGAAACCCCCAUGGGCUGCUGGUCCAAGCAGAAAGUGUUGUCGGAGGGGGGAGAGGCAGGGUGAAAUGGGACAGGAAACGAGGACUUCCGAUGAGGAGGAGGAGGGGGCAGUGGGCUGCGGGUCUUGGGGACUGAACAGAAUGGGGUUUGCUAGACAGAGCUUUCGUCUACCCACUCCUGAAGUCCUGCUGGACCUCAGCUGGCCCUUGUGAACUGUUGAGGGGGAUAUAAACACAAAGGCCUGCAUUCCUGUGGGUGCACAAUCCUAAGAGACCAUGGACUGCCUGUGUGUGGUGGGAACAGGAAAAGGAGGCUGAGUGUAGCCCUGCUUGGAAUUUAGUGUCCACCACAGAUGUAUCCACUACCCAGGGCCAAAGACUCGGCAGCCUCAGAAGACUCAAUGGAAGCUGAGCACAGGACUAGAAAGGGUCAGGGCCCUCCUCUGUAUGUAGGGGUGGCACAUGGCCACUAGCUGGGUGAUGGGGCACUGAGAAAUUAAAUGUUUGACAUAAAAAUGUAAUCAGGACCCGAGAGGAGGUGGGUGGUGUAAUGAACAGCAUCCUAGAAGUCCGGUACAGAUUUCACGUGUCACCUUCUAGUUCCUUAUCUGAAAUUGAAAGGUGAGGUCAGGUGCAGUGGCUCAGGCCUGUAAUCCCAGCACUUAGGGAGGCUGAGGAGGGCAUAUCAUUGAGGUCAGGUGUUUGAGACCAGCCUGGCCAACAUGGUGAAACCUCUACUAAAAAUACGAAAAUUAGCCGGCUGUGCUGCACACGCCUGUCGUCCCAGCUACUUGGGAGGCUGAGGCAGGAGAAUCCCUUGAACCUGGGAGGCAGAGGCUGCAGUGAGCUGAGAUCACACCACUGCACUCAAGCCUGGGCAUCACAGCGAGACUUCUUAAAAAAAAAAAAAAAAUUUAAAGGUGAGCCAGUUCAGGCUUCUAGAGGCACUGCAGUUACAGACGGUAAACUGCACAAAUCCUGGGUGUGAAGCUGUUUUUUCCUGUGUAACCACCACCCAUUGACAGCAUCCCAGAAAGUUCAAGUGUGUCCCUUCCCAGUUUACAGCCACCCGCCUCCCACCCUCACUUCUAAAUCCACCGAUUAGCAGUGUGUCUUGGAAAUUAAUAUACAAGGAAUCAUAUAGUAUGUGCUCUUUUGUGUUUGGCUUCUUUGCUCAAGAUGUCCGUGAGAUUCAGCCGGGUUGCCUCUCUCUGUAAUAUGUUAAUUUAGGUGUAGUAUCCAUUGUCUGGAAAUACAAUUGUCUAUUCUC